Molecule: transfer RNA, 75 nt
Filed under: Bacillota bacterium
Lineage: Bacteria; Bacillati; Bacillota
Also listed under: 3 other names
Description: tRNA-Glu
Rfam family: tRNA
About the family: Transfer RNA (tRNA) molecules are approximately 80 nucleotides in length.
Source: RNAcentral
GGCCCGUUGGUCAAGCGGUUAAGACUCCGCCCUCUCACGGCGGCGACAAGGGUUCGAUUCCCUUACGGGUCACCA